GUAACCUGCCCUUGACUCUGGGAUAAGCCUGGGAAACUGGGUCUAAUACCGGAUAUGACCAUCUGACGCAUGUCAUGGUGGUGGAAAGCUUUUGUGGUUUUGGAUGGACUCGCGGCCUAUCAGCUUGUUGGUGGGGUAAUGGCCUACCAAGGCGACGACGGGUAGCCGGCCUGAGAGGGUGACCGGCCACACUGGGACUGAGACACGGCCCAGACUCCUACGGGAGGCAGCAGUGGGGAAUAUUGCACAAUGGGCGGAAGCCUGAUGCAGCGACGCCGCGUGAGGGAUGACGGCCUUCGGGUUGUAAACCUCUUUCAGUAGGGAAGAAGCGAAAGUGACGGUACCUGCAGAAGAAGCGCCGGCUAACUACGUGCCAGCAGCCGCGGUAAUACGUAGGGCGCAAGCGUUAUCCGGAAUUAUUGGGCGUAAAGAGCUCGUAGGCGGUUUGUCGCGUCUGCUGUGAAAGACCGGGGCUCAACCCGGUUCUGCAGUGGGUACGGGCAGACUAGAGUGCAGUAGGGGA
Molecule: ribosomal RNA, 523 nt
Filed under: Arthrobacter sp. s10w16
Lineage: Bacteria; Bacillati; Actinomycetota; Actinomycetes; Micrococcales; Micrococcaceae
Description: bacterial SSU rRNA
Rfam family: Bacterial small subunit ribosomal RNA
Source: RNAcentral